GCCCCGCCCGCCGCCGCCGGGUCCGCCCCGCGCCCCGCGCCCCGCGCGCGCCCAGCAGGUGAAAGUCCCCGCAGCGCCAAGCCGGGACCGGGGAACUUCGCCCUGGCCCAGCCGCAGGACCGUGGGGAUCCAGGCGCAGUCUGCUCAGCCAGUAGCAGCGAAACGGCAUCGCCUUGCAUGUGUGUGUUUGUUUUGUUUUGUUUGAGGAGCCGGAGAGGAGCGCUGUUUAUUGGGUUUUGUUUUCCCAAGAAGACCGUAGAUCUGUCCCAGAUACCCUGGGUCUGGGCCGCAUUAAUUCGGAGAUCUCCACUUCUCCUUAGAACCAAGGCUAAAGCCAAGUAAGAGGACUGUCCUCUGUGCUUUUUUGUCCCUUUGGGUGUGUAGCUUGCAUUUGGGGACUCAGCAGGGUUUCUUUGGGAAGAAUUUAAAUAUUUAAAAGUCGUCAGCCUUGGAGAACUGGAGUAGGCUGCACUAGGGGCAAGAAAUUGCAAAAUGUUCUUACAUCCUUAAUUAAACUUUUUUUUAAACUGGCUAGUGAUGAGAGAGAGAGAGAGAGAGAGAGAGAGAGAGAGAGAGAGAGAGGAAGAAAGAAAGGAGAGAGGGGGAGGGGAGGGAGGGAGAGAGAGAGAAAGUUUUCAAAAUUCUGUGAGGCCUUUUACAGAUGGGCAAAGGAAGGCGCCAAAGGAGGAUUUCGAGACCAGUGUUUCUAAACUUCAUAGAUAGUGUUGUGUAACAGUUUCCUUUGAGACUGAAACAGUCUGUCGAGCAUCCAGCAGGAAAGGUCUUUAAGCAGGAAGGUAAACAACUCAAACUAGCUUCAGGAAGUCCCUGAAACUGGCCAGAUCCAAGAGGCCCCUCCCUGCCAGAGUAAACAAUAAAAGCAGAGCAUCUCAGGUAACUUGAAGCUGAGCUGCAAAGCAGACUCUCGGAGGAAAUAAACUGCAAAGAUUCGGACCAGACCUAGAAGCAGCAGAAACCAACCAAGCUGUCAGGAAGAGGUGUAGAUCAGAGUCACUUGGAAAGGACACUCUCCAACCUGUUGAGCUGCCUGCAGUGUACUCCAGGUCCCCAGCUUUUGUGAGCUGUCACCCGUGCUGCGCUGGACCUUGAUGAUGCAGCUGUCUUUGAGUCAUUUCUGGUCCUGGUGAGAGUACAGCUGCCCUUAGCUGCUCCCUGUCUGCCUGAAUUCCUGUGAAGAGAUAACAUCUUUCUGGGAUAUCUCCCUAAAUUUAAAAAAAAAAAAAAAAAAAGGCAGCCCAAUGAGUAGGACAGGUUAAUCACAUACAUCAUUCUGCACAGACUUUAUUAUCUUUACAAAUAUUAGUAAGAGCCAAAAAUAAUCUGCACAGAGGAAAUGCACCAGUAACCUUUUUAUAAAUACAAGACCCAAAGCUCUAAUCAGGCGUAUUUGACUCUUUGAAUGUCACGGUGGUUUUAAUAUGCAUCAGAAAUGGGCUUUGUAAAACUCGGCACGGUAACUCAACAACUUAAAGGCAAGAUGUUAAAUAACUAUUUUAUUUACACCUCAUAUUCUAUCCCAAAUUGAUGGUGUUUCCAGACUCUAAGAGGCCUUUUCUUCUAGAUUAACUUUAACCUCACUGGACUGAUGAAUUCAUCAGAACUUCAUAACUAAGAUAUGGCACAAGAAGGUAAGAGGUCUCAAAGAUCAGUCAUCAGGGUCUAAUAGAGAGAAUACUCCAUAGGAGACGCCAAUAUUUAUGGGGCUGGAUAAGAAUAGCAGCUAAUAUCCAUAGUUCUCUGGUGUGUCUCCCACCCAUCUCAGCGUUUUAGCAAUGCCUCAUAUGAUAUAUACAUCAGCCCUAAUGUAGCGGAUUGCAUGAAGAAAGCCAGGAGUACAGAGAGGUUUACACAACUCGCCAAAGUCAUACAUACAAAGGAGAGGCGACAAUCACAUCCGGGUCAACCCUGUUCUGAAGGGUAGAGACUGACCUUGCCGUGCUUUUAUUUACAAAUAAGACACACGGGAAACUAGAGGUUGCUGACUUGUUUCAGCGCAGAUUGUUGCCAGCCUGCAUUCAUUCUGUGUCGGUGAGAUGGAAUGUUCCAAAAAGGGGAGCCUGGGCUGGUUUGGCCCCUGCCUUCUAUCACGUCAGCAGCAGACAGGCGUGCAAACAGCCUUCUUUCGGAAAACAAUGGACAUCCGUGGUGGUGAUUUCCUUCUUUAAUAUUUUUAAAGCGAUACCAAUCCUUUUGUUAACACCUUUAAAUAAAACUAAAUAUUACCUC
Rattus norvegicus (Norway rat) is the source of this 2247-nucleotide long non-coding RNA. RefSeq lists it as uncharacterized. The record is from RefSeq and is a predicted model, not a curated record. NCBI's taxonomy places the organism in Eukaryota, Metazoa, Chordata, Mammalia, Rodentia, Muridae.